UACGAAGGGGGCUAGCGUUGCUCGGAAUUACUGGGCGUAAAGGGCGCGUAGGCGGACAGUUUAGUCAGAGGUGAAAGCCCAGGGCUCAACCUUGGAAAUGCCUUUGAUACUGGCUGUCUUGAGUUCGGGAGAGGUGAGUGGAAUGCCGAGUGUAGGGGUGAAAUUCGUAGAUAUUCGGCGGAACACCAGUGGCGAAGGCGACUCACUGGCCCGAUACUGACGCUGAGGCGCGAAAGCGUGGGGAGCAAACAGG
RNAcentral lists this ribosomal RNA (253 nucleotides) under uncultured bacterium. RNAcentral's name for it is "partial 16S ribosomal RNA". It matches the Rfam family "Bacterial small subunit ribosomal RNA", at positions 524 to 776 of the family's 1533-position model. The record is from RNAcentral.